This 251-nucleotide ribosomal RNA is filed under the name uncultured bacterium. Its description in RNAcentral is "partial 16S ribosomal RNA". It matches the Rfam family "Bacterial small subunit ribosomal RNA", at positions 62 to 339 of the family's 1533-position model. The record is from RNAcentral.
UCUAGGGGGUGUAGCAAUACAUCACCGGCGGACGGGUGCGUAACGCGUGGGAAUGUACCUAUUGGUUCGGAACAACUGCGGGAAACUGCAGCUAAUACCGAAUGUGCCCGAAAGGGGAAAGAUUUAUCGCCAAUGGAUCAGCCCGCGUAGGAUUAGCUAGUUGGUGAGGUAAUGGCUCACCAAGGCUCCGAUCCUUAGCUGUUCUGAGAGGAAGAUCAGCCACACUGGGACUGAGACACGGCCCAGACUCC